CUACGUGCCAGCAGCCGCGGUAAUACGGAAGGUCCAGGCGUUAUCCGGAUUUAUUGGGUUUAAAGGGAGCGUAGGCUGGAUAUUAAGUGUGUUGUGAAAUGUAGACGCUCAACGUCUGAAUUGCAGCGCAUACUGGUUUCCUUGAGUACGCACAACGUUGGCGGAAUUCGUCGUGUAGCGGUGAAAUGCUUAGAUAUGACGAAGAACUCCGAUUGCGAAGGCAGCUGACGGGAGCGCAACUGACGCUUAAGCUCGAAGGUGCGGGUAUCAAACAGGAUUAGAUACCCUGGUAGUCCGCACAGUAAACGAUGGAUGCCCGCUGUUGGUACCUGGUGUCAGCGGCUAAGCGAAAGCAUUAAGCAUCCCACCUGGGGAGUACGCCGGCAACGGUGAAACUCAAAGGAAUUGACGGGGGCCCGCACAAGCGGAGGAACAUGUGGUUUAAUUCGAUGAUACGCGAGGAACCUUACCCGGGCUUGAA
This 481-nucleotide ribosomal RNA is filed under the name uncultured bacterium. RNAcentral's name for it is "bacterial SSU rRNA". It matches the Rfam family "Bacterial small subunit ribosomal RNA", at positions 501 to 985 of the family's 1533-position model. The record is from RNAcentral.